GGCCUGAUUUAAAUGCCAAAACACAAGGGAUGAAAAUAUAAAUUUAAAUCAAAUUUUUCGCCCCUUUGGAAGGGCUACCAGAGUCGUCUUCGGAAUCCCCGAAAAGCCUGUCCCAAAGUCUCCGCUAAAGUCUUGCUUAAACUCGUACAAAUUCGCGGCGUCUUAGGGCCUGAAGCCGGGGCGAAUCCAGCCAGGACAUUGGCAGCAGGCGGUGACAACUGUUGCCGGAAACGCCGGCGGAUGUCCUUGCUAAACCGAAGGGCUGCCGCUGCUGCCGACCAGGAAAUAUGCCGCAGCUCGAAAUUAAAAUCGAAAUCCUUCGUGGAGAAAAAGCAGGCACCAAGGAAGAGGGGAAAGGAGCUGCAUAGCAUUUCCAGGCGCUGAGGUAAAUACACAUUACACAGCGAACUCUGUCCCCCGAAAAUCCGAAAACUCUCGGCCUUUGUGAGUAAUUUAAUAAAUUUAUCUGAGACACUCGAAGCCCGAAAAGUGUGAGUGGGGCCAAGUCGAGCAAACAUUUCGUAAUUUUCAAUUAUGGGCAAGCAUUCAGGGGCCUUUGUGUCAGCAGCACACAUGGUCGUAAAAUGUUUUGUUUGUCGGUUAACCGGAAUUUCGCAUAAUCAUUUGCAUACAUAAUAAAAAUUCCCCAAGUCGAGCGGAGCCUCUGACCAACUAUUUAUGCUGAUCAUCAUUAACGGACCUUUCCGCAAGAAAAGCCGAGAUUCAACGAACAAGAAAAUUAAUUUAUGUGCCGAAAGGGUUGCGAACCGAACUCCUUCCCACCGCUUUCCCACUCCAAACCUUAUAUUUUUGAGGGAAAACUAAACUGCUUGAGAAAAGAGGGAUGCAGGACUAGAAAUCAUUAAUAUGCUGAUGCUGAGAUGCUGAGCUGGGCAUGUGACAAGGGACCUGGCUUUCAGGGACUCGACAACAAUGCUUUAUAAUGUGCUUAUAAAUAUAUUGUCCAGUUCGGCCUCGAUGUA
This is a long non-coding RNA of Drosophila biarmipes, 983 nucleotides long. RefSeq lists it as uncharacterized. The record is from RefSeq and is a predicted model, not a curated record. The transcript has 2 exons. Lineage: Eukaryota; Metazoa; Arthropoda; Insecta; Diptera; Drosophilidae.